GGCGGAGUGAGAGCAAGCCACAGCUCGGGGGCGCGAUAGAAACUUUUAAUUACGCGUCAGGGACUUCGUACAGUGUAACAGCUACAUCAAGAAAGAAAAACUCAUUUUUCAAAAAUGCUGAUGGAGACAGUGGCAGAGGACCCAGACUCGCCCAUUCCCCGGUCACUGGGAACCCACUGCAGCUGAACUGUUAGCUUUACCCUCUCUAGCGCUGAAAGACAAGAGCUCGUUUGUUCCACAGAGGCUCACUGCGUGGCCAUCACCGUGCACCAGCCACCCCAGGCCCUGAGGACGGAGAGUGAAUAAACAAGCUCAAAUCCUACCCUUAGAAAGUUUUCCGUUCUACUGGGGGAACACAGACAAUCCAAUGAAAAGCAAAAGAUAUAGCGAUGUCAGAAGGUGAUGUGUGCCCUCUGUAGAUAAAGCAGGAAAGGGAGACAGGGAAUGCCGAGUGUUGGGAAUGCAGGGGUUGCCGUUUUAAACACGGUGGUCAUGGAAGCCUCUCCAAGAAGGCUGAAGUUUGAGCAAAGACCUGAAGGAGGGUGCAAGCCCUACGGAUCUGUGGAAAGAACUUUCCAAGCAGAGGUAACAUCCUAUGCAAAGGCCUGGAGGCAGGAGCGUGCAUUAAGCCUUUGAGGGCAGCAAGGCCUGAGUGCCUGGAACAGAGCGAGCAGGGAACAAGAGUAGACGAAGUCCGAGAGGGUCAGCAAAAACCGAGACAAAGUGACCACCGCCUCACCCGUAUCCUGUUUCUCCUGAGAAGGAAGCAUCUUGCGGCCACUGGGAGGUGGCAUCUGGCCGGGAGCUGCCAGCCUCCAUGGGCCUGUCUGCACUGGCCC
This is a long non-coding RNA of Zalophus californianus (California sea lion), 839 nucleotides long. RefSeq lists it as uncharacterized. The record is from RefSeq and is a predicted model, not a curated record. The transcript is spliced from 3 exons. NCBI's taxonomy places the organism in Eukaryota, Metazoa, Chordata, Mammalia, Carnivora, Otariidae.